This 433-nucleotide ribosomal RNA is filed under the name uncultured bacterium. RNAcentral describes it as "partial 16S ribosomal RNA". It matches the Rfam family "Bacterial small subunit ribosomal RNA", at positions 29 to 507 of the family's 1533-position model. The record is from RNAcentral.
AACGAACGCUGGCGGCAUGCCUAACACAUGCAAGUCGAACGAGGGCUUCGGCCUUAGUGGCGCACGGGUGCGUAACGCGUGGGAAUCUGCCCUUUGGUUCGGAAUAACAGCUGGAAACGGCUGCUAAUACCGGAUGAUGACGAAAGUCCAAAGAUUUAUCGCCAGAGGAUGAGCCCGCGUUGGAUUAGGUAGUUGGUGGGGUAAAGGCCUACCAAGCCGACGAUCCAUAGCUGGUCUGAGAGGAUGAUCAGCCACACUGGGACUGAGACACGGCCCAGACUCCUACGGGAGGCAGCAGUGGGGAAUAUUGGACAAUGGGCGCAAGCCUGAUCCAGCAAUGCCGCGUGAGUGAUGAAGGCCCUAGGGUUGUAAAGCUCUUUUACCCGGGAAGAUAAUGACUGUACCGGGAGAAUAAGCCCCGGCUAACUCCGUG